RNAcentral lists this unclassified non-coding RNA (340 nucleotides) under soil metagenome. RNAcentral's name for it is "partial contains 5.8S ribosomal RNA, internal transcribed spacer 2, and large subunit ribosomal RNA". The stretch from base 1 to 120 matches the Rfam family "5.8S ribosomal RNA", at positions 35 to 154 of the family's 154-position model. The record is from RNAcentral.
GAUGAAGAACGUAGCGAAAUGCGAUAAGUAAUGCGAAUUGCAGAUCUCCGUGAGUCAUUGAAUCUUUGAACGCACAUUGCGCCCUCGGGUAUUCCAGAGGGCAUGCCUGUCCGAGCGUCAUUAUCCAACCAUCAAGCUCGGCUUGCGGUUGAGCCCCGCACCGUCCCCGGGACGGUGGGCUCGAAACAUGUUGGGCGCCCGUGAGGUUGUCGGUGCAGCGAGCUCUCGAGCACGUGCCGGGCAACCGCUCUGGGCGUCGGACAGCCCCCCCAUUUUCUCAGGUUGACCUCGGAUCAGGUAGGAAUACCCGCUGAACUUAAGCAUAUCAAUAAGCGGAGGA